Molecule: ribosomal RNA, 483 nt
Filed under: uncultured bacterium
Lineage: Bacteria
Description: bacterial SSU rRNA
Rfam family: Bacterial small subunit ribosomal RNA
Source: RNAcentral
GAUGAACGCUAGCGGCAGGCCUAAUACAUGCAAGUCGAACGGAUAUAUGUUUUUCGGAAUAUAUAUUAGUGGCGCACGGGUGAGUAACACGUACAUAACUUGCCCUCAAGCGGGGGAUAGCCUUGGGAAACUGAGAGUAAUACCCCAUAGAAUUAUUGGACGGCAUCGUUUGAUAAUUAAAACUACGGUGUUUGGGGAUAGAUGUGCGUCUGAUUAGCUAGUUGGUGAGGUAACUGCUCACCAAGGCGACGAUCAGUAGGGGGCGUGAGAGCGUGGCCCCCCCACACGGGUACUGAGACACGGACCCGACUCCUACGGGAGGCAGCAGUAAGGAAUAUUGGUCAAUGGAGGGAACUCUGAACCAGCCAUGCCGCGUGAAGGAUGACGGCCCUCUGGGUUGUAAACUUCUUUUGGAUGGGGCGAAAAAACGGGAUUUAUCCUGGACUGACGGUACCAUCAGAAUAAGCACCGGCUAACUCCGUG